This is a long non-coding RNA of Vigna angularis (adzuki bean), 2878 nucleotides long. RefSeq lists it as uncharacterized. Lineage: Eukaryota; Viridiplantae; Streptophyta; Magnoliopsida; Fabales; Fabaceae. The transcript has 7 exons. The record is from RefSeq and is a predicted model, not a curated record.
AUCAAGCUUUGCAAAUUCUCACUACUGGAAAAGGGCGAUUUACAGACGGCAUAUUACCGAAGGCUUGAAGCCCUCGGUAUUAAGGUGAUUACCGAAGGCUUUUAAGCCGUCGGUAACAUUCUCGCUAAUUUAAGUUCGAAAUUGAGGUUUUCGUUCCUAGUUUCAUCACUUUCCUCAACUUCACGCUUCGUCACUUUUCCCAAAUUUUCCAAUUUCCCUCCCCUUUGUUCUCUUCUCUGAAAGCUUCCCCCUUCCCUUCUCUAUUCUGCUGGUGCCCUCCAUUGUGCCCUCCAAUAUUGAGCGAUUUUGGGACAAGUGAGGGUUGGUUGGUCGGUUUGGGGAUUCUUUGGCUGGGAUUGAAGAUGGCAGUUUGGGGGUUCUACGCCUAGGUUUUCUGAGGUUGGUUUGGUGGUUCUACGGUUGGGUUGGUUGACGCCGAUUUGGGGGUUUUGCGGCUGGGUUCGUUGACGUAGGUUUCGAGGUUCGUGGGAGAUGUCCGGAACGCGGCGGCAACGAGAGUCUCACUGUCUAGCGAAGACUUGUAGAUCUGGAGUGAAUAACAUUGCGAUGGUGAUGGAGGUAGCGAGACGCGCUACAGCUAUUUUCGUGUUUCUGCUCUUGCAAAAUUGGUGGCGGGGGAAGAUGACGUAUCUGGAGCGACGGCAGCGAGGGACAUUCAAGGUGGAGGGGAGCACGAUGGUGAUCCGAGAUGCAUCGGCAAUGUCUGAAGCAUGACAGUAUCAACGACGGGUUCAAGAAAUGACCACCCAAGUGGCUCAAAUGGUGACUGUUAUCAAUCAGCUGACAAGGAAAAAUGAAGAGGAGAAAGGGGCAACAAACAAUGAAGCACCACUGAUGGUAGCUGUUGCCCCAUAAUUUCAAGAGAUUGAGUGUCCUACCACCUCUGUAUACUCUAAUCCUUCUUUCACUGAUUCAUAUUAUGCUUUAAAUUCUGAUAAUUCCAAUUCUCUGAUGAGUGAUGAUUAUAUGAGUGCAUCUAUUGAUAUUUCUGAAUGUGUAUGUGAACCUUAUGACCAUAAUUACACUGAUACUCAUUUUGAAAAGCUAGUUGAUGGUUUUAGGGAGUUGGCUAUGAUUCAUGAUUGUAAUAGCUUUGUUGUUGUCCCUAUAUCUGAAUUUACCACUGCUAAUGUUCAAUUGAGUGAAAAUGUGUAUUAUGAUGGUGAUAAUACUGAACCUCAUUCAGUACUGUGAAAUGCAUUUUGAUGCUGAUGUGUGUGAGCUUGAAAUUGAUUUCAAUGUGCUUGAUCAUAUGCAUGAUGUGCCUGUAGAAGUUGUUGAUUUUACUCCUUGCUUUGAUAAUUCUAAUAUCAUAAAUUCAGCAUUUUCCAUUGAUAGAGUUCAUAUACCAGCAUCUAGUGUUUUUGAUGAUUCCACAUAUUUAAAUGCACUUUUUGAUGAGGAAUUAGAUGCUCACGAUGAUAGACAUGCAGUUUUUGAUGAUGUGAAAGUUGAUUUGGCUGAUUUUGAAAAUGCUUGUACUGAUUUAGGAUUAGAACUUGAACUUGAGUUUGCUGGGUUCUUAAAUUCUUUAGAACUGAACAAUGAAAAACUCACUGCUUGUACAUGCCUUGGGGGUGGUUGUGAAAUUUGUGAAGAAAUCAUUUCUGCCAUAUGUUCUGCUUGUAUUUGGUUAUACAUGAUUUUGUUUUCUUUGCCAUUUUGCAGGUUUUGGUGGGUAUUAUUAUCUCUUGGAGCCACUCUGGUGGGUGGGAAUGAUCACAAAAUUAAAGGAAGCAAAGAAUGCUAAAAACACUAAGGCAAUUAUUUGGGAGGAGGAAAGUGCAGAAAGGCUUGGAAAUAUCUGUUUUGGUUUUUUUAAUAGGAAUUAGCUAGUUUUUAGUUUUGAUUGUUAAUACUUCUUAGAUUCUUUUACUUUCAUUGAUUCUGUUAGAACUUCUUUUAGGUUUCUUUCUUUUCCUGUUCCUAUUUUCUCUUCCUUCUUUUAGUUUCUUGUUCUGUUGUUGUUUUCUUAGUAGUUAUUUUAGAUUCUUUUCAUUUUCUAGGUUCUGUUUGAGCUUGUAAAUUAGGAUUUGCUGUUUUAAGAUUUCUUUUGUUAGAUUGUUAAGUUGAUGUAUGAUUGUAUCUUAGUGGACUGAUAUUGUUUGCAAAUCUCUUUUCUUAUAAUUUGCUUUUCAGGCUCAUACUGCAUUCCAUCUUGUUGAGCCAUGCUUUAGUGGCCUACUAGCUUCUCCAUAUGACCCACAACCUCAUGUUGAAUCUGACAACGCAAUUUGAUGUUGAUGGAAAUGAUACUCAGAAUGUGGGUGGGUUGGUUGAACGACUUCCUAGAAGCUCCCGUCAAAGGAAGCGAAAAGAUAUUAUUGAUGAUUCUAACUAUUCAAUUGAUACUAAUGUGAACAGUUUUGAUGAUCUGCUUCGUGAAAGAUCGAGUAUAAAGAAACCAAAUUAUAUUCUUGAUGAGUUAGAAGAAGAUUUAGAUAUCUUCACAGCAAACAUGGGAACCCUACAGAAAACAUCGUCAAAAUUGAAAGAAGUGACACUGGAAGAAGAGAUCCUAGAAAUGUAUACAAGUAUGUUAUCUCAAUGCAUAAAAAAUCGAGGGAUGCUGAUGCUAAUCAAAUGAACGAUGUCAUCUUUCACAGCAAAAACAUUACAGUGUCAUCAGUACUCUUGAAGAGUUAUACAACUUAAAAAAGUUAAGAAUAUGUAAAUCAUCGAGACAUCAGGAAGCAUGUUCAAGCUGCUCCUUUUUUAAUUGUUCGAGUGUCUAUUACUUUUAUGUAAUUUUUUACUAAAUUUUUCAUAUAUUUUUGUUUCAUUUUAAUAUGUAUGAAGAGAACAAAUUGUAUUAUUUGAGAGUAAAUGCAAAAGUAACUAAAUCAUGUUAAAUGUA